GUGAUUCGAAUUUUGGAGGCUAGGAUCAGCAAGUUUAGGUUUUUGGAUAUGGAUUGGAUACAAAAUUUAUGUGAUUUGGAGUUUUUAUGAAGGAGUAAUUGGUGCUCAAAGUUAAGAUGUUAAUUUCAUACCUACUAUCACUCUUUGGGGCAUAACAUAUGUUACAAAGAACAACAAAGGAUUGGCAAUAAGGAUUGGAGAGAAAAUAUUUUUGGCUAUUCUUUUCAUAUACAAUUUGAUGAAUUUAGAGUUUGGAUGGAGAAGUUAUAAAGGGUUGAAGUCAUCACAUUCAAAUCAAAGGCAAUAAGUAAGUGAUUUUGUUCAUAGUAAUGGUUAGAGCCAUAUCUUGAGUUUUUAGACAAAUUUUUGGCUCAAACCUUAUAAAGAAGAUAGAUUAUUGUGUUAAAAAACUAUAAAUAUAAAUUUUAUGGCAUUUAAAUGCUUAAUUUGUGAGAUA
RNAcentral lists this long non-coding RNA (457 nucleotides) under Physcomitrium patens. Its description in RNAcentral is "long non-coding RNA (PPAT_LNC003461)". Lineage: Eukaryota; Viridiplantae; Streptophyta; Bryopsida; Funariales; Funariaceae. The record is from RNAcentral.